This 446-nucleotide small RNA is filed under the name Pan troglodytes (chimpanzee). Its description in RNAcentral is "processed transcript". Lineage: Eukaryota; Metazoa; Chordata; Mammalia; Primates; Hominidae. The record is from RNAcentral.
AGCGGGCUGGAGUUGAGCAGAGUUCAGAGUUCUCCUAGCUAGGGGCAUACUCUGGAGUACCCAAAUCCAACAGUCCUGACAGAGGAAAGCAGCUUCCUGUAUAGUUGACCUGGAAGGUCAACUUCUUGUCAGAGUUUUACAUGAAUUAUUUUUAUGGUGGAAAUAGAUGUAAAUGUUCCACCAAAAAUGAUUUUUAUCAGGAACCGUCACAGCCACCUCAACCUUCAGCAACCACCACUGUUCAAGGCAACAUCCUUCAGCAGCAGAAAGAUUGACUCGCUGUAGGCUCAGACAUGGGGCCUCACUAUGUUUCACAGGCUGGUCUAAAACUCCUGAGCUCCAGGGAUCUGCCUGCCUCCGCUUCCCAAAGUGGUGGGAUUGUAGGCAUAAGCCAUCAUGCCUGGCCUGCUGUGAGUUUUAAAUAAAAAUGUAAAUGCUCUUCUCCA